Molecule: ribosomal RNA, 245 nt
Filed under: uncultured Armatimonadaceae bacterium
Lineage: Bacteria; Bacillati; Armatimonadota; Armatimonadia; Armatimonadales; Armatimonadaceae
Description: partial 16S ribosomal RNA
Rfam family: Bacterial small subunit ribosomal RNA
Source: RNAcentral
AGUGGGAAGAAAUUUGACGGUACCACUCGAAUAAGCCCCGGCUAACUACGUGCCAGCAGCCGCGGUAAUACGUAGGGGGCGAGCGUUGUCCGAAGUUACUGGGCGUAAAGCGCGCGUAGGCGGUUAUUCAAGUUUGGGGUGAAAGGUUCAGCGCUCAACGUGAACAGUGCCUUGGAUACUGGAUGACUUGAGUCUGGAAGGGGAAGGGGAAUUCCUGGUGUAGCGGUGAAAUGCGUAGAUAUCAG